Pezoporus flaviventris is the source of this 420-nucleotide long non-coding RNA. RefSeq lists it as uncharacterized. The record is from RefSeq and is a predicted model, not a curated record. Lineage: Eukaryota; Metazoa; Chordata; Aves; Psittaciformes; Psittacidae. The transcript has 3 exons.
UCUACAUGCUCUCUGCUGUUUCUGUGACCUCAAGACUCUUUGCCGCUCAGCAGCUGCAAUCUGCUGCCUGGAGCUUGUCCGAGUUCAAAACCUAACUCCUCUUCAUCAGGAAUGACAGCUGAGAGGGGCUGUGCUGUGUUUUCAAAAUGCACAAAUGUUCCACUGCUAUCUUAACUAUAACAACUGCACUGCUGUGGUCUCAGUUGCUCUGUGCCACUAGAGUUCUUUUGGGAUUUGAAUUGAACCUCAGCCCUUCAGAGAACUUCAGAGCACAGAGCAAAAGCAAAGCAAUGAACGGUGCUACAAGACCCUGUUAUGGAUCAGAAUCGAUGCAAGGAAUGGUCCUUCUCUGAAAGCUUUACAAGGUAUGAAAUGAGAGAACUGAGGAAUACAGGCAGGAGAUGCAGCAUGAAGAACUGC